This 472-nucleotide ribosomal RNA is filed under the name uncultured bacterium. Its description in RNAcentral is "partial 16S ribosomal RNA". The stretch from base 21 to 299 matches the Rfam family "Bacterial small subunit ribosomal RNA", at positions 48 to 357 of the family's 1533-position model. The record is from RNAcentral.
AGCGAACGCUGGCGGCAGGCCUAACACAUGCAAGUCGAACGAACCUUUCGGGGUUAGUGGCGGACGGGUGAGUAACACGUGGGAACGUGCCUUUAGGUUCGGAAUAACUCAGGGAAACUUGUGCUAAUACCGAAUGUGCCCUUCGGGGGAAAGAUUAAUCGCCUUUAGAGCGGCCCGCGUCUGAUUAGCUAGUUGGUUGAGGUAAUGGCUCACCAAGGCGACGAUCAGUAGCUGGUCUGAGAGGAUGAUCAGCCACAUUGGGACUGAGACACGGCCCAAACGGCGGCGGGGAGGAGAGGCGGGUAGUCGUGGGCGAGGGGGCAAAGCAGGACGCAGCAGCGUGGUAGGAAGGAUGAAGGUGUAAGGAGAGGAAAAUGCUGGCACAGGGAACGAGAAAGCGGGAGAACGGAGAAGAGCCCGCGGCGAACUGGGUGCAAGCAGCCAGGAAGAAUCGGACCCCACACGUUUCAAC